This 607-nucleotide ribosomal RNA is filed under the name uncultured bacterium. RNAcentral's name for it is "bacterial SSU rRNA". It matches the Rfam family "Bacterial small subunit ribosomal RNA", at positions 338 to 1414 of the family's 1533-position model. The record is from RNAcentral.
CCUACGGGAGGCAGCAGUGGGGAAUCUUGCGCAAUGGGCGAAAGCCUGACGCAGCAACGCCGCGUGCGGGAAGAAGGCUUUCGGGCUGUAAACCGCUUUCAGCAGGAACGAAAAUGACGGUACCUGCAGAAGAAGGAGCGGCCAACUAUGUGCCAGCAGCCGCGGUGAUACAUAGGCUUCAAGCGUUGUCCGGAUUUAUUGGGCGUAAAGAGUUCGUAGGCGGUCGAGUAAGUCGGGUGUGAAAAUUCUGGGCUCAACCCAGAGACGCCACCCGAUACUGCUUGACUUGAGUUCGAUAGGGGAGUGGGGAAUUCCUAGUGUAGCGGUGAAAUGCGCAGAUAUUAGGAGGAACACCGGUGGCGAAGGCGCCACUCUGGAUCGAUACUGACGCUGAGGAACGAAAGCAUGGGUAGCAAACAGGAUUAGAUACCCUGGUAGUCCAUGCCGUAAACGGUGGGCACUAGGUGUGGGUUUCUAUUAACGAAAUCCGCGCCGUCGCUAACGCAUUAAGUGCCCCGCCUGGGGAGUACGUCGCGAGACGAAACUACAANAGUAAGUAGUACGGUUCGUUGUAGACGUUGCCGACGGACGACGACGAGGGAGGAGG